RNAcentral lists this ribosomal RNA (1165 nucleotides) under uncultured organism. Its description in RNAcentral is "bacterial SSU rRNA". It matches the Rfam family "Bacterial small subunit ribosomal RNA", at positions 164 to 1343 of the family's 1533-position model. The record is from RNAcentral.
UAAUACCGGAUAAUGUCUUCGGACCAAAGAUUUAUCGGCUUUUGAGCGGGCUAUCUCCUAUCAGCUUGUUGGUGAGGUAAUGGCUCACCAAUGCAACGACGGGUAGCGGGACUGAGAGGUUGGCCCGCCGCAUCGGGACUGAGACACUGCCCGGACCUCCACGGAGGGCUGCAGUAACGGAUAUUGGGCAAUGGGCGAAAGCCUGACCCAGCAAUGCCGCGUGCAGGAUGAAGCCCCUCGGGGUGUAAACUGCUGUCAGGGGUCAGAAAGACAGUUUAGGCUGUUUGAUCAGCCCCAGAGGAAGUCACGGCUAACUUCGUGCCAGCAGCCGCGGUAAUACGAAGGUGGCAAGCGUUGUUCGGAAUCACUGGGCUUAAAGGGCACGCAGGCGGAAUGGAAAGUGUUUUGUGAAAUCCCCCGGCUUAACCGGGGAAUUGCUUGACAAACUUCUAUUCUUGAGGCAGGUAGGGGUGUGUGGAACUCUUGGUGGAGCGGUGGAAUGCGUAGAUAUCAAGAGGAACGCCAAUGGUGAAGACAGCACACUGGGCCUGUCCUGACGCUGAGGUGCGAAAGCGUGGGGAGCAAACGGGAUUAGAUACCCCGGUAGUCCACGCCGUAAACGAUGUCUACUAGGUUGUGGGAGUUCUGACACUCUCGCAGCCGAAGCAAAAGUGUUUAGUAGACCGCCUGGGGAGUACGGUCGCAAGGCUAAAACUCAAAGGAAUUGACGGGGGCUCACACAAGCGGUGGAGCAUGUGGAUUAAUUCGAAGCAACGCGCAGAACCUUACCUGGGUUUGACAUGCUUGGAUGCCUGCCCCGAAAGGGGUUAGGCUGCCUUUUAGGUGAAACUUGCACAGGUGCUGCAUGGCUGUCGUCAGCUCGUGUCGUGAGAUGUCGGGUUAAGUCCUUUAACGAGCGAAACCCUUACCGUUAGUUGCCAGCGGGUCAUGCCGGGGACUCUAGCGGGACUGCCGGUGUCAAACCGGAGGAAGGUGGGGAUGACGUCAAGUCCUCAUGGCCUUUAUGCCCAGGGCCUCACACGUGCUACAAUGGGAGCUACAGAGCGAAGCGAGACCGCAAGGUGGAGCGAAUCGCAAAAAAACUCCCUCAGUUCGGAUUGCAGGCUGCCAAUUCGCCUGCAUGAAGUUGGAAUCGCUAGUAAUC